RNAcentral lists this ribosomal RNA (231 nucleotides) under uncultured bacterium. RNAcentral's name for it is "partial 16S ribosomal RNA". It matches the Rfam family "Bacterial small subunit ribosomal RNA", at positions 103 to 334 of the family's 1533-position model. The record is from RNAcentral.
CGGGUGAGUAACGCGUGGGCAACCUGCCUUGCACUGGGGGAUAACAGCCAGAAAUGGCUGCUAAUACCGCAUAAGACCGAAGCGCCGCAUGGCGCGGCGGCCAAAGCCCCGGCGGUGCAAGAUGGGCCCGCGUCUGAUUAGGUAGUUGGCGGGGUAACGGCCCACCAAGCCGACGAUCAGUAGCCGACCUGAGAGGGUGACCGGCCACAUUGGGACUGAGACACGGCCCAG